Molecule: ribosomal RNA, 497 nt
Filed under: uncultured bacterium
Lineage: Bacteria
Description: partial 16S ribosomal RNA
Rfam family: Bacterial small subunit ribosomal RNA
Source: RNAcentral
GAUGAACGCUGGCGGCGUGCCUAAUACAUGCAAGUCGAGCGAACGGACGAGAAGCUUGCUUCUCUGAUGUUAGCGGCGGACGGGUGAGUAACACGUGGAUAACCUACCUAUAAGACUGGGAUAACUUCGGGAAACCGGAGCUAAUACCGGAUAAUAUUUUGCACCGCAUGGUUCAAAAGUGAAAGACGGUCUUGCUGUCACUUAUAGAUGGAUCCGCGCUGCAUUAGCUAGUUGGUAAGGUAACGGCUUACCAAGGCAACGAUGCAUAGCCGACCUGCGAGGGUGAUCGGCCACACUGGAAGUGAGACACGGUCCAGACUCCUACGGGAGGCAGCAGUAGGGAAUCUUCCGCAAUGGGCGAAAGCCUGACGGAGCAACGCCGCGUGAGUGAUGAAGGUCUUCGGAUCGUAAAACUCUGUUAUUAGGGAAGAACAUAUGUGUAAGUAGCUGUGCACAUCUUGACGGUACCUAAUCAGAAAGCCACGGCUAACUACGUG